UCACACCAGCACUCAAAGAUAAAAAUGGCAUGCUUAAGAGCAAAGGGAAAGAAGAAAGUAGAGGGCCCACUCAGGAUCACAGAGCUGAAGAUAAAGACUAAGGCCAGAGAAGAAAAAGGGCUUUUUCAUAUAUCCAGUUGAAAGAGUGCAUGGUUCUCUGAUACUGAAUCCAAACAUACAUUGAAAUACAGUGAGAAUGUGGCAGAUUAUGCGGGGAAAAGAAUUGGAAUUCCUGGGAAGUCAUGAGAAGAUUGUCAUGUUGAUUUAAGCAAGUGU
This is a long non-coding RNA of Gavialis gangeticus (Gharial), 276 nucleotides long. RefSeq lists it as uncharacterized. The record is from RefSeq and is a predicted model, not a curated record. The transcript is spliced from 4 exons. NCBI's taxonomy places the organism in Eukaryota, Metazoa, Chordata, Crocodylia, Gavialidae.